GGAUGUGAGGGCAAUCUGGCUGCAACAUCUGUCACCCCAUUGAUCACCAGGGUUGAUUUGGCUGAUCUGGCUGGCUAGGCGGCUGUCCCCUUCCUCCCUCACUGCUCCAUGUGCAUCCCUCCCAAAGCUGCGUGCCUGGUUGAAAAGGAUGACCAUCCCUGAUACAGGCGGUAUCGUUCAUCAGUCACAGGUAUUUUGUAGCUGCACUCCCCUGAUAGAACCUCCAAACAAGAUCAAGGUCCAGUUGUAGGAGAACGUAGGGUAGUUGAGCUUCCAAGACUGCAGACAUAUCCAAGUGACGUGCUGCACAUGGCAGUCUGCCAUUCUUU
Molecule: small nuclear RNA, 329 nt
Filed under: Melopsittacus undulatus (budgerigar)
Lineage: Eukaryota; Metazoa; Chordata; Aves; Psittaciformes; Psittaculidae
Description: 7SK RNA
Rfam family: 7SK RNA
About the family: 7SK was discovered as an abundant small nuclear RNA in the mid-70s but a possible function has only recently been suggested. Two independent studies have found that 7SK RNA binds the CDK9/cyclin T complex (known as elongation factor P-TEFb). P-TEFb activates transcription by phosphorylating the C-terminal domain of RNA polymerase II.
Source: Rfam by way of RNAcentral